RNAcentral lists this ribosomal RNA (301 nucleotides) under uncultured bacterium. RNAcentral describes it as "partial 16S ribosomal RNA". It matches the Rfam family "Bacterial small subunit ribosomal RNA", at positions 509 to 807 of the family's 1533-position model. The record is from RNAcentral.
CAGCAGCCGCGGUAAUACGUAGGGUGCGAGCGUUAAUCGGAAUUACUGGGCGUAAAGCGUGCGCAGGCGGUUCGUUAAGACAGAUGUGAAAUCCCCGGGCUUAACCUGGGAACUGCAUUUGUGACUGACGGGCUAGAGUAUGGCAGAGGGGGGUAGAAUUCCACGUGUAGCAGUGAAAUGCGUAGAGAUGUGGAGGAAUACCGAUGGCGAAGGCAGCCCCCUGGGCCAAUACUGACGCUCAUGCACAAAAGCGUGGGGAGCAAACAGGAUUAGAUACCCCGGUAGUCCCUGUCUCUUAUAC